RNAcentral lists this ribosomal RNA (440 nucleotides) under uncultured bacterium. Its description in RNAcentral is "partial 16S ribosomal RNA". It matches the Rfam family "Bacterial small subunit ribosomal RNA", at positions 338 to 795 of the family's 1533-position model. The record is from RNAcentral.
CCUACGGGAGGCAGCAGUAGGGAAUAUUGCUCAAUGGUGGAAACCCUGAAGCAGCAACGCCGCGUGGGGGAUGAAGGUUUUCGGAUUGUAAACUCCUUUUGUUAGAGAAGAUAAUGACGGUAUCUAACGAAUAAGCACCGGCUAACUCCGUGCCAGCAGCCGCGGUAAUACGGAGGGUGCAAGCGUUACUCGGAAUCACUGGGCGUAAAGAGCGCGUAGGCGGGAUAGCAAGUCAGAUGUGAAAUCCUAUGGCUUAACCAUAGAACUGCAUUUGAAACUGUUAGUCUAGAGUAUGGGAGAGGUAGGUGGAAUGCUUGGUGUAGGGGUAAAAUCCGUAGAGAUCAAGAGGAAUACUCAUUGCGAAGGCGACCUGCUAGAACAUAACUGACGCUGAUGCGCGAAAGCGUGGGGAGCGAACAGGAUUAGAUACCCUUGUAGUC